GUAAUAAAGAUAUAGCAGAUUAAAGCCUAAUCUAACCUAACUGACCACUCCCCCCCUCUCAGCCAGGCUCUCCAAUCACGUUCCUGGAAACAGAGAGAAAGGGUGAUGUCACACCAAAACUUUUAUUCUCCUCCCCGCCACCAAAGCACAUGCAUUCAUGUCCAGAGAAAGAACUGUUGGAGUAGAAAUGAAGAUGAAAAACAUAUGACAGAUCACUUGUGGAAGAGGCAUGAAGGAAGAGAGAAUUUCUAACAUGCAAGACAGAAAGCUGGGGACCUCAUCUGUCAAUCAAGGUCUAGGCCAGCAGUGAAAUGUCUGACCUUGGAUGGAAUCUGUAACUUAACAACUGUUUAAAAGACAUCUUUCCUCUUAGCUGCUCUCAGAGCCUAACAUCAGUGGAAACUGUUUACUUGCCAGAUGAACAGAUCUCCCUCUCUUUGGCUGGGUCCUCCCAGAACUUCCAUUUUAAGGAGGAUUACCCAAGCCAAUCAGAGUCUUAUUUCUACAAUGGCUGGCCUGCUGAUUCUCUGGACUUUCUCUGCUAUAUCCCAUUUGCCAAGAACUUGAUUUCUUCCACCUCUACUCCCUUUUCACUUCCCUUUUUUUUUUUUGUGAUAUCUUUACUCAUUAGAAUUCAAGUUCCUUGAUAGCAGGAGAUGUCUUUCUUUUCACUUGUAUUUUUAUUUUUAGCAUUUAGCAAGUGCCUGGCACAUAGUGUACUCUAAAGGAAUGCUUGUACAUUUGCUUAUUGACUUUAAUCCUUGCUGAAGAACAUAUAUUUGGAUGGGACAUAGCAAAUCCUUAUUGGUUUCUGUGACAGAAGUUAUUUCAAAUAUAAUGACUAUUUCAUGAAAAAUAUAAGAGAAAUUGAGAAGAAAAUGCCUUUUUCACAUUUGGGAUAUGUUCAAUUCUUUCUUCUCCUUAUACUUUCUGCAAGAGAUAAGAGAGGGUAUUUCUUUACUGUAAUCAAAUGACAGUGGAGACUCUUACUUGCCUAAGUGAACCCGCGUUCCUAGCUCCAGUUUUUGGUUUUAUUUUUCCUUCUCUAUGCACAAUCAGUGUAUAGAUAAUGGCCAAUGAACAUUUUUGCCUUAGAGACUACUGAAUAAUUUGAAAAAUUCU
RNAcentral lists this long non-coding RNA (1122 nucleotides) under Monodelphis domestica (gray short-tailed opossum). RNAcentral describes it as "lncRNA (ENSMODG00000030001.2)". Lineage: Eukaryota; Metazoa; Chordata; Mammalia; Didelphimorphia; Didelphidae. The record is from RNAcentral.